RNAcentral lists this ribosomal RNA (253 nucleotides) under uncultured bacterium. RNAcentral describes it as "partial 16S ribosomal RNA". It matches the Rfam family "Bacterial small subunit ribosomal RNA", at positions 524 to 776 of the family's 1533-position model. The record is from RNAcentral.
UACGGAGGGUGCGAGCGUUGUCCGGAAUCACUGGGCGUAAAGGGCGCGUAGGCGGCCUGAUAAGUAGGGGGUGAAAUCCUGCGGCUUAACCGCAGGGCUGCCUUCUAAACUGUCGGGCUAGAGCACGGUAGAGGCAGAUGGAAUUCCCGGUGUAGCGGUGGAAUGCGUAGAUAUCUGGAGGAACACCGGUGGCGAAGGCGGCAUCCUGGACCGGCAUUGACGCUGAGGCGCGAAAGCCAGGGGAGCAAACGGG